GACAGAGGUGCCGAGCGUUAGGCGGAAUCACUGGGCUUAAAGCGUGUGUAGGCGGACCGUUAAGUACCUUGUGAAAUCCCACGGCUCAACCGUGGAACGGCUGGGUAUACUGGCGGUCUUGGGCCACUCAGGGGCGAGCGGAACAAGUGGUGGAGCGGUGAAAUGCGUAGAUAUCAGGAAGAACACCCGUGGCGAAGGCGGUUCUCUGGGACGGUACUGACGCUGAGACGCGAAAGCGUGGGGAGCGAACAGG
RNAcentral lists this ribosomal RNA (253 nucleotides) under uncultured bacterium. Its description in RNAcentral is "partial 16S ribosomal RNA". It matches the Rfam family "Bacterial small subunit ribosomal RNA", at positions 524 to 776 of the family's 1533-position model. The record is from RNAcentral.